CUAGCCCCCCCUCUCUCUCUCGUAGGAGCAAUUUUACUACUUGGGAUUGUUUCCAGUAUGGAAUUUUACUACUUGAGAUUGUCUCAAAGUUCUCUCAUCCUAAUCCUAAAUCUAUCAGCUUUUUCAUUCCAAGCAAGGUUCCAAGCUUUGAUUUGUCCUUAUUAAUGUAUAGAAUAGAAAGUGAAUCUAUGAAUUUCUUGGGUCUCCUUUAAUUUUUCCAAAAUGUGA
RNAcentral lists this long non-coding RNA (228 nucleotides) under Capsicum annuum. Its description in RNAcentral is "long non-coding RNA (CANN_LNC021158)". Lineage: Eukaryota; Viridiplantae; Streptophyta; Magnoliopsida; Solanales; Solanaceae. The record is from RNAcentral.